RNAcentral lists this ribosomal RNA (446 nucleotides) under uncultured bacterium. Its description in RNAcentral is "bacterial SSU rRNA". It matches the Rfam family "Bacterial small subunit ribosomal RNA", at positions 329 to 792 of the family's 1533-position model. The record is from RNAcentral.
GUCCAGACUCCUACGGGAGGCAGCAGUAGGGAAUCUUUCACAAUGGGCGAAAGCCUGAUGGAGCAACGCCGCGUGCAGGAUGAAGGCCUUCGGGUUGUAAACUGCUUUUAUAAGCGAGAAAUAUGAUGGUAACUUAUGAAUAAGGAUCGGCUAACUACGUGCCAGCAGCCGCGGUAAUACGUAGGUGGCAAGCGUUAUCCGGAUUUACUGGGUGUAAAGGGCGUGUAGGCGGGUCUGCAAGUCAGAUGUGAAAUCUCAUGGCUCAACCAUGGAAUUGCAUUUGAAACUGUAGAUCUUGAGUGAUGGAGAGGCAGGCGGAAUUCCGUGUGUAGCGGUGAAAUGCGUAGAUAUACGGAGGAACACCAGUGGCGAAGGCGGCCUGCUGGACAUUAACUGACGCUGAGGCGCGAAAGCGUGGGGAGCAAACAGGAUUAGAUACCCCAGUA